This 652-nucleotide long non-coding RNA is filed under the name Erythranthe guttata (spotted monkey flower). RNAcentral describes it as "long non-coding RNA (EGUT_LNC000578)". Lineage: Eukaryota; Viridiplantae; Streptophyta; Magnoliopsida; Lamiales; Phrymaceae. The record is from RNAcentral.
ACCAUAUGCUGGAAUUAUAUUUUUCCUGAUCCCAAAAAAACACAUUGCAAAAUCAAUUCAAAAUGUUAUCUGAAAAAAUAAAGACAUUGUCGUGAAUGCAGGAUAUUCGAAAAUUGCAGUACUAUUCCCAAAACGGGUGUACUACGACAUAAUUAUUAAUAAAGUCAAUUAAAACUUAAAAUUUUAAAAUAUAAAAACGAAGCGUCGAUCAUUGUGCACCCAUUUUGCAAGAAUUCUUAUUAUGGCCCCCCAUCCUCUUACACUUGCCACACCUGAUGCUGCGGGGUACCAAUUCACCUCAAUGCAAUUUUGAAAUCGCUACUGAUCUGCCGGAAUUGAUAACAUAUGUAUACACCUUUAAAGACAUAACAAUCGAUAGCAGUCGAUAAGUAGCGAUAAAAACCAUAUGUAUACACCUUAAAAGUUUAUUUACAUAAUCGAUCACAUAAAAACCACUCUGCAAUUUUGAAAAUCGCUACUGAUCAGCAAGAAUGGGUAACAUGUGUAUACACCUUAAAAGACAUAACAAUCGAUAACAAUCGAUUAAAAACAUAUGUAUACACCUUUGAAGAUUAUUUACAGAAUCGAACAACCCAGAAAAAAUUUAAUAACAUGUGUAUACACCUUAAAAGACAUAACAAUCGAUAACAAU